RNAcentral lists this long non-coding RNA (1632 nucleotides) under Triticum aestivum (bread wheat). Its description in RNAcentral is "long non-coding RNA (TAES_LNC015667)". Lineage: Eukaryota; Viridiplantae; Streptophyta; Magnoliopsida; Poales; Poaceae. The record is from RNAcentral.
GUGGAUAUCCGAGCGUCGGAUGCUGGCCAAGUCUUGGACAUGGGACAGCUGCAGUCCCGUUCGUGUGGAGAGGCAGGUCCGGGUCAUGUGGAUCAUGGGUGAUCAAAUCAGCUAUUAGUGCGUGAGUGCAUGUAGUGGAGCAGGGCGUGUGCAUAAGAGCCGGGCAGGUUGUUGCCUGGCUGUGUGCGUGUGUGUGUGAGCUAUAUAUAGCCAUGUACGUGUGUGGUGUGUCCACCGAGGUUUGUAGCCAUGUAGCCACUGUAAAGAAGAAAAGGAUUGGAGCGUUCGUGCGCCCGUGGCGGCGUUCGUGCGCCGGUCGGAAAAUUUUGUGUCCAUUGUUCUUCUUCUUCCACCUCCGUUCGAUUGUGAGGAGAGGUAGCUAGAGGGCUGCGGUUCCAACAUUUGGUAUCAGAGCCGGUUUCAUCUUGGGUGUCGCCUCUUGCCGGAGGCGUGCCGGCGGUGGCAGCGCUCGCCGGCGGCUGCGCGAUGGAGCUCCGGGCCGUGUGUCGGCCCAUGGAGGUGGGCGGCGUUGUGGCUCUCAUGGCGCGUGGCGGAUGCGGCGGGCGGUGAUGUCGUGCGUGCGGCGACCGCGGAGGCCGCCGAGGCGCUGCGUGGUGGCGCGGCGGCGCAGCACGGCAUGGCGGCAUGGAGGCCGCGGCGGUGCAGGGCAAUAAGACGCGGCGGCGAGCCGGGCGCGACCGGUGCGUGUUAUGGGUGCGCACUGGACGUGUCGGGCGCGUCGGGACCGCGGGAGUGGACCGCGUCGAGGCGCUAGACCUGGUUGCGCAGAUCACGUACGUGCACGGUGGGAGCGCGGGCCGGGAGCGCGGGGACGUGAGGAGUGCGCGCGAAGGGCACGGCGGUCGCGGAGACGAGAAGGUCGCGAAGGACCUGCGUGGUGGCGCAGAGGUCGCGACGGCUCGGAGCGACAACCAUGGAAGGUGCGUGGCACGGAGGCGCGGCGUGGCGGCUGCCAUGGCGAACGCGGAGGCGGCACGCGGUGAGCGUCUGGUGCUGUCGGGCUCGUCGGGCGCGUUGAGUGUGCGCGGGACGUGCGGGACGCACUGGUGCGGUCGGGCUCGUCGGGUGCGUCGGGUGCGCGCGGGACGUGUGGCGCUCGGAGGGACGCCAGGCGUGUGUCGCCGGCGGAGAAGGAGCUCGGCGUAUGUCGCCGGGGUCGUGACGGAGCACGGUGCGACCGGCGUCAGUGCGCCAUGUCGGGUCCGUGGCGGUGCGACCGGCGUCGAUGCGCCGGGUCGGGUCCGCGGACUGGGUCACGGUUGUGACGACGACAACAACGAGAGCUGCAACAACUUCGGCGGCGGCAAGGUCGUAGUUUAGGGGGAGAGUGUUAGCAAUAAACCACGCAUUGUAUGGGUCAUGCGCGUAGUUAGUUGUAGUGGAUAUCCGAGCGUCCGAUGCUGGCCAAGUCUUGGACAUGGGACAGCUGCAGUCCCGUUCGUGUGGAGAGGCAGGUCCGGGUCAUGUGGAUCAUGGGUGAUCAAGUCAGCUAUUAGUGCGUGAGUGCAUGUAGUGGAGCAGGUCGUGUGCAUAAGAGCCGGGCAGGUUGUUGCCUGGCUGUGUGCGUGUGUGUGUGAGCUAUAUAUAGCCAUGUACGUGUGUGGUGUGUCC